This 663-nucleotide ribosomal RNA is filed under the name Anisolabididae sp. DM22. Its description in RNAcentral is "SSU rRNA". It matches the Rfam family "Eukaryotic small subunit ribosomal RNA", at positions 52 to 698 of the family's 1831-position model. Lineage: Eukaryota; Metazoa; Arthropoda; Insecta; Dermaptera; Anisolabididae. The record is from RNAcentral.
UGCAUGUCUCAGUGCAAGCCAAAAUAAGGUGAAACCGCAAAUGGCUCAUUAAAUCAGUUAUGGUUCAUUAGAUGAUACACCACAUUACUUGGAUAACUGUGGUAAUUCUAGAGCUAAUACAUGCAAACAGAGUUCCCACCGGAGACGGUAGGAACGCUUUUAUUAGAUCAAAACCAAUACGUUCGUUUCGGCGAGCGAUUCCAUUGGUGACUCUGAAUAACUUUUUGAUGAUCGCAUGGUCCUUGUACCGGCGACAAAUCUUUCAAAUGUCUGCCUUAUCAACUGUCGAUGGUAGGCUCUGCGCCUACCAUGGUUGUAACGGGUGACGGGGAAUCAGGGUUCGAUUCCGGAGAGGGAGCCUGAGAAACGGCUACCACAUCCAAGGAAGGCAGCAGGCGCGCAAAUUACCCACUCCCGGCACGGGGAGGUAGUGACGAAAAAUAACGAUACGGGACUCAUCCGAGGCCCCGUAAUCGGAAUGAGCACACUUUAAAUACUUUAACAAGUAUCCAUUGGAGGGCAAGUCUGGUGCCAGCAGCCGCGGUAAUUCCAGCUCCAAUAGCGUAUAUUAAAGUUGUUGCGGUUAAAAAGCUCGUAGUUGGGACUGUGUCCCGCACUGUCGGUGCGCCAUUUAUGGUGUUUACUGACAUGCUGCGGGACGUC